Molecule: transfer RNA, 76 nt
Filed under: Candidatus Omnitrophota bacterium
Lineage: Bacteria; Pseudomonadati; Candidatus Omnitrophota
Description: tRNA-Pro
Rfam family: tRNA
About the family: Transfer RNA (tRNA) molecules are approximately 80 nucleotides in length. Their secondary structure includes four short double-helical elements and three loops (D, anti-codon, and T loops). Further hydrogen bonds mediate the characteristic L-shaped molecular structure. tRNAs have two regions of fundamental functional importance: the anti-codon, which is responsible for specific mRNA codon recognition, and the 3' end, to which the tRNAs corresponding amino acid is attached (by aminoacyl-tRNA synthetases). tRNAs cope with the degeneracy of the genetic code in two manners: having more than one tRNA (with a specific anti-codon) for a particular amino acid; and 'wobble' base-pairing, i.e. permitting non-standard base-pairing at the 3rd anti-codon position.
Source: RNAcentral
CGGGGGAUAGCGCAGUUUGGUUUAGCGCGCUUGAAUGGGGUUCAAGAGGUCGAGAGUUCAAAUCUCUCUCCCCCGA